UAAUCGGGGUUGCGGACAGUGUCUGGUGGGUAGUUUGACUGGGGCGGUCUCCUCCUAAAGAGUAACGGAGGAGCACGAAGGUUGGCUAAUCCUGGUCGGACAUCAGGAGGUUAGUGCAAUGGCAUAAGCCAGCUUGACUGCGAGCGUGACGGCGCGAGCAGGUGCGAAAGCAGGUCAUAGUGAUCCGGUGGUUCUGAAUGGAAGGGCCAUCGCUCAACGGAUAAAAGGUACUCCGGGGAUAACAGGCUGAUACCGCCCAAGAGUUCAUAUCGACGGCGGUGUUUGGCACCUCGAUGUCGGCUCAUCACAUCCUGGGGCUGAAGUAGGUCCCAAGGGUAUGGCUGUUCGCCAUUUAAAGUGGUACGCGAGCUGGGUUUAGAACGUCGUGAGACAGUUCGGUCCCUAUCUGCCGUGGGCGCUGGAGAACUGAGGGGGGCUGCUCCUAGUACGAGAGGACCGGAGUGGACGCAUCACUGGUGUUCGGGUUGUCAUGCCAAUGGCACUGCCCGGUAGCUAAAUGCGGAAGAGAUAAGUGCUGAAAGCAUCUAAGCACGAAACUUGCCCCGAGAUGAGUUCUCCCUGACUCCCUGAGAGUCCUGAAGGAACGUUGAAGACGACGACGUUGAUAGGCCGGGUGUGUAAGCGCAGCGAUGCGUUGAGCUAACCGGUACUAAUGAACCGUGAG
RNAcentral lists this ribosomal RNA (685 nucleotides) under Escherichia coli. RNAcentral's name for it is "partial 23S ribosomal RNA". It matches the Rfam family "Bacterial large subunit ribosomal RNA", at positions 2236 to 2915 of the family's 2925-position model. Lineage: Bacteria; Pseudomonadati; Pseudomonadota; Gammaproteobacteria; Enterobacterales; Enterobacteriaceae. The record is from RNAcentral.